Myzus persicae (green peach aphid) is the source of this 401-nucleotide long non-coding RNA. RefSeq lists it as uncharacterized. The transcript is spliced from 3 exons. Lineage: Eukaryota; Metazoa; Arthropoda; Insecta; Hemiptera; Aphididae. The record is from RefSeq and is a predicted model, not a curated record.
UAGGUUUUUUAUGCUUUUGGUUUCAUUCAAAAAGUUUAAAUGUACCUACAUUUGACUUCAGCAUAAAUCUGUAUUUACUUCAAAUGAAUAAAGGUUUAAAAAUACACAUACGUUAAAAAAUCUUAGGCUCCUACUGUACAGACGUACAGUUUACAUUGAAAUUUAACACAGGACGGAAGCAUAACUUCUUAUUAAUUUGAUUCUGAAAGGAGCCAUGCAUGUAUCUAUAGAUUUUACAAUGAUGGGUUUUUUUGUGACUCUCAUCUCCAAGCGAAACAGAAUAAAUUGUUCAAUUUUCAUCUUUGAGGAUGGCUUCUGAUAGAAAAUUGGAUCAUGUUCAAAAAAAAAUAAACGAACAUUUUUAUGCAAGUGUUGCUGGCAUACGUACUAUACAACAAUAG